Molecule: non-coding RNA, 1980 nt
Organism: Camellia sinensis
Lineage: Eukaryota; Viridiplantae; Streptophyta; Magnoliopsida; Ericales; Theaceae
Source: RefSeq, a predicted model, not a curated record
CCUUUUUAUCCCUUGGAGCAAUUGCAACGAUAGCUGGGACUAUUGUUGGUCCUCACAAUCGCUGUUGUUAUCCUUGCAAGCACAAGUUGUUGGAUUCUUUUGGCUUUAUCACAUGUUUAGUAACCUACUUCCCAAUCAAACACCACGGGAAGCUUUUCUCUUUCUUGAAAGUCCUUUAGAUCCAAAGAAAAGAAGUUGUAAGCAGUUUCCUUGGCUACAGAAGCAUAACUGCAUGGAUUGAAGCCCAACGCAUUACUAUGGUUGCUGUAGCUACUGAGAGUGAUUUGGAAAUUCGUCGCUCCCAUGGGGAUACUUGUCUGGCAGCAGCCAAUGCCAGAGCAAGAGCCGUUCAUCACAUUGUUGACGCUGUCACACAGUGACAAGUAACCCGUGGUACACCUUUUUUCUCUAGGAACCUUAGAUAACAACAUACAUGUCAGAGUCAACAGCUGUGAACUUGUUUCCAGUAUUUGACAUGGAGAAUUUAGGCACUGUGAUCCAGGGAUCAAAUUUGUCUUUCCAAACACCCCCUUCACUAAUGUUGUGUUUGGUUGGGGGAUUUGGAAAGGGAAAUGGAAAAGGUAGGUGAAAUGUGAAUAAAUUAUGCCUAUAUUUCACAUAGUUUCACACACCUUUUCCCUUUCUCUUUCCAAAUCCCUUCCCAAAUCCCCCAACCAAACACAGCAUAAAGCAAUCAAACCCUAUCCAGGUUGAAAUGCUCUAUUCACCAGAAAGAAGUAUCUUUGUUAUCUCUAAGUUACUCUCAGACUUACCAAGUUAGUUACAGAACUUAAUUACCUAAUGUAGUUAUGUCUUGUACCAGCACUUUAUUUGUCUUGAAUACACUCAAUUCCUGAUGUUAAAGGUAUGUUGAAGUAAUCUAUUAGAGCCAAAUAUCCAUCAAGUAGCUGCCACGACAGGGUUUUCUACUGAUCUUUCAUGAUAUUGCCUCCGGAUCUAUUAUUUUCAUCUUGGAGGAAUACCUUGCUUAUGCUUGCUUCUAAGCUCAAAAAAGGUCAUGAAUAGCAUGUAGUGCUAUAGCAAGAUUUUGUUUUGGGAUUUUAUCAUUUAUAUAAUUUGUCAACAGAGGAAAAUAGAUCAUCUGCUUUGAAUGGUUUCAAGAUGGGUAUAUGAUGCUAUUAACUAUUGAUAUUCCUUCUACUUAAUUUUAUUAGAAUUCUAUUAUUAUGUUUUAAAAAUUCCCUAUUGCUUUAAAAUUUCUCUGAGGGAAGUUACUUUGUACAAAUUAUGUCGAAGGUUAGGUCCCAAUGGGCACUAAAUUGGGCGUACUGUUUUAAUUAAUGUUUAAAUUUACUAUCCGACGGAAAAUAUAACGAUGAAUGGAUUGCAGGUGCAAAAUCUAGUUGCAGAAAUUGUUGAUUCCAAGAUGGGCAAACAAGUAAUUCUUCCUUAUUCUUGUAAUUAAUUUUCUAUGUAAAAUUCAUGGCUUGGUAUAGUGCUCACACAAGUUAAAUUUUCUUUUGCCACAAUCCUGCAAAUCCCUACAGAUUACAAGAAUCAAGCCGUCCCUCACUUUCAUUCCCGCAGAGGAAGUGAUGAGCCUUGUGACUGCUCAUGUGGCGAAGCAUAGUGGAAAGACAUUCUGAAUGCAGAGGGUGAUGAAAUAUAUGUGAAGAAAACUCAGAGCCCAAACCCAGAUCUAGAGUUAAUGUUUGGAUUAAAGGAGACAUACAAGGAAGAAAGGAAAAUCUGUGAACGAAGUACUUGAGGCAGUAGUGGUAUAGUACUAUUAGCUCCAUUAUGUAUAUAUUCCAUUAUAAUUUACACUCAUAUUAAAGAUUGUUUAGAAAGUUUUGGACAGUUUUUAGAACUUAAGGAUAUUUUGUUUUGGAUGAUUUAGAAUUGUUUGGAUGGUUUUGAACUUGAAGGUAGUUUUUAAUGUCUAGAAACAUAGGCUUUGUUUGGUUUGUUUUUCAGAAAAAAUUUUGGGAAAAAUUCUCGACAAACAAAUUUUCAAGA